GAUGAACGCUGACAGAAUGCUUAACACAUGCAAGUCCACUUGAAUUUGGGUUUUUACCUUAGGUUUGGGUGGCGGACGGGUGAGUAACGCGUAAAGAACUUGCCUCACAGCUAGGGACAACAUUUGGAAACGAAUGCUAAUACCUAAUAUUAUGAUAAUAGGGCAUCCUAUAAUUAUGAAAGCUAUAAGCGCUGUGAGAGAGCUUUGCGUCCCAUUAGCUAGUUGGAGAGGUAACGGCUCACCAAGGCGAUGAUGGGUAGCCGGCCUGAGAGGGUGAUCGGCCACAAGGGGACUGAGACACGGCCCUUACUCCUACGGGAGGAAGCAGUGGGGAAUAUUGGACAAUGGACCAAGAGUCUGAUACAGCAAUUCUGUGUGCACGAUGAAGUUUUUCGGAAUGUAAAGUGCUUUCAGUUGGGAAGAAAGAAAUGACGGUACCAACAGAAGAAGUGACGGCUAAAUACGUG
This 467-nucleotide ribosomal RNA is filed under the name uncultured bacterium. Its description in RNAcentral is "partial 16S ribosomal RNA". It matches the Rfam family "Bacterial small subunit ribosomal RNA", at positions 28 to 507 of the family's 1533-position model. The record is from RNAcentral.